CCUACGGGGGGCUGCAGUGGGGAAUCUUGGACAAUGGGGGCAACCCUGAUCCAGCGACGCCGCGUGGGUGAUGAAGGCCUUCGGGUUGUAAAGCCCUUUUGUCGGGGACGAUGAUGACGGUACCCGGCGAAUAAGCACCGGCUAACUCCGUGCCAGCAGCCGCGGUAAUACGGAGGGUGCUAGCGUUGUUCGGAAUUACUGGGCGUAAAGGGCGCGUAGGCGGCCGUUUGCGUCGGAUGUGAAAGCCCGGGGCUCAACCUCGGAACGGCAUCCGA
Molecule: ribosomal RNA, 275 nt
Filed under: uncultured Geminicoccus sp.
Lineage: Bacteria; Pseudomonadati; Pseudomonadota; Alphaproteobacteria; Geminicoccales; Geminicoccaceae
Description: partial 16S ribosomal RNA
Rfam family: Bacterial small subunit ribosomal RNA
Source: RNAcentral